GUUGCUGAUUACUUUUUUGUUUAGAAAUAUAGAAGUUGUAUUAAUAACUCAGCAGCUGUGGUCACUUACAAAAAAAAAAACCUAAAAAAUAAAAUAAAUAAAUAAAUAACCCAGGAAAGAUAAUGGGUUUUUGGAACUAUACUGGGUAAUGUUUUUUUCACCUUCUGUCUGAAUGUCAUCUUUCUAUAAAAGAUGAAAACGUCAGUGUGACAUGUUAGGAGUAUAUUACAAAGUUAAAUGUGUGUGAUUAAAAGACAACCCUGACAAAUUGUUUAUGUAAUUGUUUUUUGUAGAUGUCUGGAUGUUUAUUUGGCUAACAACAACAACAACCAAACUUCAGAUGACCACACAUCAUUUCAUGGUCCAUUCCUGUGUUGUUGGUAACGCAGAUCGGUCAGAAACUGUCGCAGACACAGAGGAAUGUGGAGGAAUCAUCUUUCAACAAUAAUGUAUUUACCUGUGCAAAUAAAUAACAGAUUUAUUUUACCCAUGUGUCAAAUAAAGCAUAUAUUUAAUAA
Long non-coding RNA from Austrofundulus limnaeus, 518 nucleotides. RefSeq lists it as uncharacterized. The transcript has 2 exons. The record is from RefSeq and is a predicted model, not a curated record. NCBI's taxonomy places the organism in Eukaryota, Metazoa, Chordata, Actinopteri, Cyprinodontiformes, Rivulidae.